Molecule: ribosomal RNA, 648 nt
Filed under: uncultured bacterium
Lineage: Bacteria
Description: bacterial SSU rRNA
Rfam family: Bacterial small subunit ribosomal RNA
Source: RNAcentral
GGGAUAACAGUUGGAAACGACUGCUAAUACCGCAUAAGCGCACAGGAUUGCAUGAUCCGGUGUGAAAAACUCCGGUGGUAUGAGAUGGACCCGCGUCUGAUUAGCCAGUUGGCAGGGUAACGGCCUACCAAAGCGACGAUCAGUAGCCGACCUGAGAGGGUGACCGGCCACAUUGGGACUGAGACACGGCCCAAACUCCUACGGGAGGCAGCAGUGGGGAAUAUUGCACAAUGGGGGGAACCCUGAUGCAGCGACGCCGCGUGAGCGAAGAAGUAUUUCGGUAUGUAAAGCUCUAUCAGCAGGGAAGAAGAAUGACGGUACCUGACUAAGAAGCACCGGCUAAAUACGUGCCAGCAGCCGCGGUAAUACGUAUGGUGCAAGCGUUAUCCGGAUUUACUGGGUGUAAAGGGAGCGCAGGCGGUGCGGCAAGUCUGAUGUGAAAGCCCGGGGCUCAACCCCGGUACUGCAUUGGAAACUGUCGUACUAGAGUGUCGGAGGGGUAAGUGGAAUUCCUAGUGUAGCGGUGAAAUGCGUAGAUAUUAGGAGGAACACCAGUGGCGAAGGCGGCUUACUGGACGAUAACUGACGCUGAGGCUCGAAAGCGUGGGGAGCAAACAGGAUUAGAUACCCUGGUAGUCCACGCCGUAA